Molecule: ribosomal RNA, 284 nt
Filed under: Ixodes ricinus (castor bean tick)
Lineage: Eukaryota; Metazoa; Arthropoda; Arachnida; Ixodida; Ixodidae
Description: partial small subunit ribosomal RNA
Source: RNAcentral
AAAAUAAAAUUUGAUUUUAAAAAAAUUUAAUUUUUAAACUAGGAUUAGAUACCCUAUUAUUUUAAGCUUAAUGUUGGUAGUAAGUAAAAUUUAUGAAAUCAUAAAAUUUUGGCGGUAUUUUAAGCUUGUUAGAGGAAUUUGCUCUAUAAUGGAUACAACGCCUAUAUCUUACUUAAUUUUGUAAUUAAAGUCAGUUUGUAUACCACUAUAUUUAAUUAUAUUGAAUAAUUAUAUUUGAGAUUUUUAUAUAAAUAUAUAUUAAGUCAAGGUGCAACAAAUAAUUA